Molecule: long non-coding RNA, 2506 nt
Filed under: Homo sapiens (human)
Lineage: Eukaryota; Metazoa; Chordata; Mammalia; Primates; Hominidae
Description: non-protein coding lnc-NR1I2-1:18
Source: RNAcentral
GACUCGGGUCGUGGCUGACGACCCGACGGUUCGCCUGCGGCCGCCUCCAACAACGGUGGAAACCGCACACAGGGACCGCGGGCCCUCGGUGCAGCAAAUCGGAAAGUGCUGCGGUCGGCGGCCCUGGGCUCUGAGCGCUCAAGCGAGCAGAGGGGUGGAGGGGCUCUCCCCACCCACAGGAGGCUCUCGGCGGGGCGCAGCCAAUUCUGCGCGCCCAAGGCUCCCCUCUGCCGUGGAUCGCGUGUGCCGAGUGUUGGCCUCUUCCCCGAAAGGGCCAGACGGACCAAGGGGGCCUUCCCAGCCGGCUGCAAGCUCUCAGACGCUAAAAUGGGAACAAAGCUUCCAGAAAGGCAGCGCCUUUGGGCGGCCGCGCCCCGCCCAGCCGCGGGGGCCAUUGAUACAGAGGCUUGCUGCGCUUGGUGUGCGCGGCCCGGCCGGGCCUCUGGAAACGCCCAUGAGAAAUGAGCUCAUGCUGGAUGCGCGCGCUCCUUGGGCGCAACUGCCCAGCGCAAAACGGGCCCCGAAAGCAGGUGAGGGGAAAUGCCGUCAGGCCGGAUAUCCUGAAGCCUCCGAGGAAAUGGGGGGGUCAGAGGAGCCCGUGGUAGCUUUGGAUCUUUUGGAACUAGGGUGAUCUAUAAAAGUGCAGCUUGAGAAGAUUUCAUACAUAAGACCAGCGUCCAUUGUUCUACCAUAGAACCAGUUCCUUUGGUCUGCUUUAGAACAGUGAGGUAUGGCUACGUCAAGAUAACAGAGAAAGUAGAACAGACAGUUGCCAUCCUGAUUGUAAUCCAGUGGUGCCUGUAAUUUCUACCUGCAGAGUCAUCUCUUUCUGUUAAGAUGCUGUCUCCAGAAAGCACAUGUUAAAGGACCUAUAUUUGAUCAGAUUACCUGGCUCUUGCUUUGAAACACUGAUGAAGGACUUGGGACAGAACAAAGUAAGCUUUGAUGGAAGACAGGAAAGGUCUAGAUAGUGUUUGCAGAUUCAAAUGGCUACAGAGGCCAGACAAGUAAAGCAAAUGAGUGAGACUGGCCUUGUGUAAGACAAUGGGGAAUGAUAGGGAAAAUGGCAAAUUGGAAUAUCCAUGCCAUAACUAAAAGGAACAGCUGCUCAACUCUAGCAGAUUGUUGCCCUCAGGAAUGUGGGUCCAGUGUUCUCAGAUGUUCAAUUUUUUUCCUCCCAAAAGAAACCCCAAAAUUGGAUUUUUGUGUGAAAUCUCUGCAUUUUUAAAUGUUGGUAACCAAAUUUUCAAACCCUGCAGGCCAACCUAAAAACAUCCCUUGGCCAAUGAGGCAUUGGAAAAAGUGUUAAUAAUUGUUAGGGGCCCGAUAGCAGUAGGAGGGUGAAAACAAAAUGGUUUGGGACCUUAAAUAAUUGAAAUGUAUCUUUAUUUAUUUAUUUAUUUUUGAGACGGAGUUUCACUCUUGUUGCCCAGGCUGGAGUGCAGUGGCGCGAUCUCGGCUCACCGCAACCUCCGCCUCCCCGAUUCAAGUGAUUCUCCUGCCUCAGCCUCCCAAGUAGUUGGGAUCACAGGCAUGUGCCACCAUGCCAGCUACUUUUGUAUUUUUAGUAGAGACGGGGUUUCUUCAUGUUGGUCAGGCUGGUCUCGAACUCCCGACCUCAGGUGAUCUGCCUGCCUCAGCCUCACAGAGUGUCAGGAUUACAGGCGUAAGCCACCACACCGGGCCGGUUGAAAUUUAUCUUUAAAAUAGUGCACCUUUAAUCCUUUUUUUAUUUCUGUGUGUAUCUUAUAAUGUGCAUAUCAUGUUAGCUCAAGAUCAAGAGUUUAUGGACAAGCCAGGAGUGGUGGCUUAUGACUGUAAUCCCAGCAAUUUGGGAGGCCGAGGCAGGUGGAUCGCCUGAGGUUAGGAGUUCAAGACUAGCCUGGUCAUCAUGGUGAAACCCCGUCUCUACUAAAACUUUAAAACUUAGCUGGGCGUGGUGGCGGGCGUCUAUAAUACCAGUUACUUGGGAGGCUGAGGCAGGAUAAUUGCUUGAACCCAGGAGGUGGAGGUUGCAGUGAGCUGAGAUCGCACCAUUGCACUCCAGCCAAGGCAACAAGAGCAAAACUCCGUCUCAAAAAAAAAAAAAAAAAAAAAGUUUAUGAACCACUAGUUUAGACAAAGAAUAGUUGUACAGUUGUACAGAUGGAUAAGGAAGGAAAGAACAUUCCAGGCAAAGAGAAAAGGUUAUGCAAUGGCUGAAAUGUUUAACAAGGUAUUUGGAGACCUUGAGAUAGUUUGAAAUUAUGUAAUGUCUAAGAUGUGGGCCAAGAGAAAAUAAAGGAAAAUAUCACAGGAUAAUAGAGGAGUAAAGUAAACUAUGCUGUAUUAACUCCAUAUUAGGCAGCCAGUAAAAAUAAAUACAACCACCAAAAGUAACUCAGAAAUAUGUUUAGGAAACAAUACUAAUUGAAAAAUAUAGAACUUCAGGUUGUAUAUCUACCAUAUUUCCAAUCUGUAAAAUAUAAGUACAUUUGGAUCAAGAUUGGAAAGGAAGACAAAUUAG